Non-coding RNA from Pelobates cultripes (western spadefoot toad), 120 nucleotides. The record is from the annotation of a GenBank genome assembly. Lineage: Eukaryota; Metazoa; Chordata; Amphibia; Anura; Pelobatidae.
UCCUUAAGGGGUUAAAAAAGCUGGGGAAUAUCCACCACUGAAGACAUUUUCUAGGAGAUGGAAAAUGUCUUCAGUGGUGGAUAUUCCCCAGCUUAAUGCACCUUACCAUAAUUCUCCAGA